UAAUGGCAUAUCGAUGCAUCUAUAAAAUGAAUAUAGUUUGCUACAAAGGCAUUGA
Molecule: transfer RNA, 55 nt
Filed under: Ulva sp. A AF-2021
Lineage: Eukaryota; Viridiplantae; Chlorophyta; Ulvophyceae; Ulvales; Ulvaceae
Description: tRNA-Tyr
Source: RNAcentral